This 82-nucleotide transfer RNA is filed under the name Lepisosteus oculatus (spotted gar). It matches the Rfam family "tRNA". Rfam says of the family: Transfer RNA (tRNA) molecules are approximately 80 nucleotides in length. The record is from Rfam by way of RNAcentral. Lineage: Eukaryota; Metazoa; Chordata; Actinopteri; Semionotiformes; Lepisosteidae.
GAGAAGGUGGCUGAGUGGUUAAGGCUAUGGCUUGUUAAUCUAUUAGACUCUGCACCUAUGGGUUCAAAUCCCAUCCUCAUCA